UGUGAUGUCAUAUACUUUCAAAGGUCCA
RNAcentral lists this non-coding RNA (28 nucleotides) under Mus musculus (house mouse). Lineage: Eukaryota; Metazoa; Chordata; Mammalia; Rodentia; Muridae. The record is from RNAcentral.